GGUUAAGUCCCGCAACGAGCGCAACCCUUGUCUUUAGUUACCAUCAUUCAGUUGGGGACUCUAGAGAGACUGCCGGUGAUAAACCGGAGGAAGGUGGGGAUGACGUCAAAUCAUCAUGCCCCUUAUGGCCUGGGCUACAAACGUAAUACAAUGGCGUAUACAAAGGGAUGCGAAAGGGCGACCUGGAGCAAAACUCACAAAGUACGUCUCAGUUCAGAUUGGAGUCUGCAACUCGACUCCAUGAAGGCGGAAUCGCUAGUAAUCGCGGAUCAGCAUGCCGCGGUGAAUACGUUCUCGGGGUUU
Molecule: ribosomal RNA, 303 nt
Filed under: uncultured Erysipelothrix sp.
Lineage: Bacteria; Bacillati; Bacillota; Erysipelotrichia; Erysipelotrichales; Erysipelotrichaceae
Description: bacterial SSU rRNA
Rfam family: Bacterial small subunit ribosomal RNA
Source: RNAcentral